AAGUCGUAACAAGGUUUCCGUAGGUGAACCUGCGGAAGGAUCAUUAUCACGUAUCCACGUAUAAACCAUCGUGAACCCUAACCUUUGGGGGAGGAUUGCAACAGUGGAGGAGAAGGCAUACGAACUGUUUCUUGUGAUUUAGAGUUCGCUUUUUCUUUCCGAGCGCCAUCUUUUUGGAACUCGUUGCCCUUUCCUGGAGCGUAUUUCUUAAAUCGCUAUUUAUUAACAAUUUGAACAACAUUUUAAACUACGAACUGAUCUAUUUCUUACUCUUCGGAGAAGAAAUUCAUUACGAAACAAAGAACAACUCUUAGCAACGGAUAUCUUGGUUCUC
Molecule: unclassified non-coding RNA, 334 nt
Filed under: fungal sp.
Lineage: Eukaryota; Fungi
Description: partial internal transcribed spacer region
Rfam family: Eukaryotic small subunit ribosomal RNA (bases 1-46)
Source: RNAcentral